Oncorhynchus gorbuscha (pink salmon) is the source of this 632-nucleotide long non-coding RNA. RefSeq lists it as uncharacterized. The record is from RefSeq and is a predicted model, not a curated record. NCBI's taxonomy places the organism in Eukaryota, Metazoa, Chordata, Actinopteri, Salmoniformes, Salmonidae. The transcript is spliced from 3 exons.
CUGACAGGCAAUUCCUGCAAGGACAUCUCUAGUGAAAUCUGCACAGAGGAUUCCACACUGAAUGAUGCCUCCAACCACAGUCUAAAAGGAUAUAACAGGAUUUAAUUAACCAAUGAGAGCCUCUCGCCUGCUGUGGUCAGUGACCCGACCCUCAGGAUUCGAACUCGCUGUCGCUGCUAACGUAGUGGUCUGGGGUGGAGGUGCCAGUGCCCCGGGGGUCGGUGCUCGUGCUGCAGUCGCUGGCCUCUGGGCUGCCCGGGUGACGCGGAGAGGCGGCCAGCAGGCGGGGGUGGUGGGCGUGAUGCUCCUGGGCAGAACCCUCAGGGGAGCUUCCGGAAGGCAGCCCUGUCUCUCUGGCGUCGGUUCUUGAACCAGUUGCCGACCUGUGUGGGCGUGAGUCCCGUGGCCUGGGCCAGGUGCCGUUUCCUGGACGGGUUUGGGUACGGGUCCUGGAGGUACCACUCUCUGAGCAGGCUGCGAGUUCUCUCCUGUGAUACAUAAAGGACACAAUAAUGGUCAGUUUCCUGCUUCAUGUAACCAACAGUGUUGGUUCUAUCUAUCACAAUGAGAUUUGACACACACUACCAGUCCAAAGUUUUAGAACACCUCCUCAUUCAACAGUUUUUCUUUAU